CAGCUUGAUAGAGGCGCGGGAUUUAUCAGUACCUUCUGAAAGAUGCGGCAGGGAAGCCGACAGAAGAGAAAGGAAAUACCGCCGAAGGAGCCGGAACCCCAACCCCGGUUUCUGGGACGAUGCAGAAGAUGCAGCGUACUGUCACACAUGUGGAGCGCUAUCGGAAGA
Non-coding RNA from Coprococcus comes CAG:19, 168 nucleotides. NCBI's taxonomy places the organism in Bacteria, Bacillati, Bacillota, Clostridia, Lachnospirales, Lachnospiraceae. The record is from Rfam.